UAAUGAUGGUGAAGACAUUGGAUUAAAAGCAUUUUAAAGCGUUCCCAUGCUUCAUGGAACGGCUCACCCUCCAUUUGGGAAAAAGUGGCGAUCUUGCUCCUGAGUUC
Malus domestica (apple) is the source of this 107-nucleotide small nucleolar RNA. The record is from RefSeq and is a predicted model, not a curated record. NCBI's taxonomy places the organism in Eukaryota, Viridiplantae, Streptophyta, Magnoliopsida, Rosales, Rosaceae.